CCUACGGGAGGCAGCAGUGGGGAAUAUUGGGCAAUGGAGGGAACUCUGACCCAGCCACGCCGCGUGAGUGAAGAAGGUUUUCGGAUUGUAAAGCUCUUUCGGAUGUGAAGAAGAUGACGGUAGCAUCUAAAGAAGCCCCGGCUAACUUCGUGCCAGCAGCCGCGGUAAUACGUAGGGGGCAAGCGUUGUGCGGAUUUACUGGGCGUAAAGGGAGGGUAGGCGGGUUGGUAAGGUAGGAGUGAAAUACCAGGGCCUAACUUUGGGAUUGCCUUGAAAACUGUUUGACUAGAGUGAAAGAGAGGAUAGUGGAAUACCCAGUGUAGAGGUGAAAUGCGUAGAUAUUGGGUGGAACACCGGUGGCGAAGGCGACUAUCUGGCU
This 379-nucleotide ribosomal RNA is filed under the name uncultured bacterium. RNAcentral describes it as "partial 16S ribosomal RNA". It matches the Rfam family "Bacterial small subunit ribosomal RNA", at positions 338 to 734 of the family's 1533-position model. The record is from RNAcentral.